AUGUCAGUAACCCAGCAAGUGGUCGCCAGACCACGUCAGUGAUCUAACAGGUGUUCCUGAGACGUAUGAACCAGCUCAGCCAGACAUCCAACUUGACUUGACCUGAGGUGGCUUGACCUCAGGUUUGCGGCAACUAUGAACGUGACCUCGGAGGUGAGCGAGAGGUUAGGAGGGAGCCAGAUGACCCCGGGUGACCCCCAGGUGACCUCAGGUGACACCGUGAGUGAUGCUGAUAGACUGGCACACGAGUCACACGUACUGGAUAUGACAGUCUGGAUGAUGAUACUCUGUAUCUUCACUUUCUUCUUCAUUAUCAUCGUUGCUGUCAUCUGUAUGCAGUGGAUGGAGAGGAGGAGGGAGAGGAGACGGAAAAUGAGAGCUCUGUCGUGGACACUGACUCCUUCCUUCACGACCAGACGACCAGGUGGUAGUGGUGCAGGAACCAGGAGCGAGGAGACUACCUGAUACUGCCUCAGGGGCCAGUGCCAACCUGCAUCACUGUCCUCUCGACUUCACAACCUCACUUUAAACUACUAACCCACUACCACUUACAACCAUGUCACUACGGGGGUCUACGGACUCUGCCUUCCAUCGCUACUCGGUCCUUCUCUCUACCACAACUCUCAUGCGUCAGUGACAGGAAGUGCCACCAGUAACACUCUGGGUGCCACCAGUGACCCCUGGGUGCCACCAGUGACCCCUGGGUGCCACCAGUGACCCGUGGGUGCCACCGAUUGCCCCUGGGUGCCACCAGUGACCCCUGGGUGCCACCAGUGACCCCUGGGUGCCACCAGUGACCCCUGGGUGCCACCAGUAACCCCUGGGUGCCGCCAGUAUUACCUCCUGCAGUAUUACCACCUACAGUAUUGCCAGUUCUUGGCUUGUUAACAAUUGUUAAGCAGUGUUGCCAUCUUAAAGCAUAUUAUAUCUCUUAGAUUAUUUUUAACUGCAAAGAAAUGUUACCAGUACCAAGUAAACUGUUAUUACCAGUUACCAACACUUGGAAGACAGUGUUACCAAAAUUAAGAGCGUCAUCAGCGGAGCAAGUGUUACCAGCACUAACAGUGUGUUGCCAGCACCAGUGUUACCAGCACAGCAGGAAAUGUAGCUGUCCUCUUCUUCCUUGGAUCGAAUUUCAUUACUUCCCAGUCUCCCAGGCGCUGUAUGACCCAUGUGGGUUUAGCGCCUCUCCAUGAAUGCAAUUACCACCAGCAGUGUUACCAGAACCAUGAAUGCAAUUACUACAAACAGUGUUACCAGAACCAUUGUGCAUUUCCGUGGACAUAGUUGCCAGAACAAGUGUUACCACCACAAAUGGUAUCUCCACCAGUGUUGUCAGCACCAGUAUUACCAGCACUAGUGUUUAUCACAAACAAGAUUAUCAGUGUUACCAGCACACACACAGUAUAAUAAUAUCUCUAUUUACUACAAGUACAUGUACAAGGUAUACAAGUGCAUGCACAAGGUAUACAAGUACAUGUACAAGGUAUACAAGUACAUGCACAAGGUAUACAAGUACAUGUACAAGGUAUACAAGUACAUGCACAAGGUAUACAAGUACAUGUACAAGAUAUACAAGUACAUGUACAAGGUAUACAGACCAUAGCUGACAUCAGUGACAUACUACUAUAUAGAAAGCCGCUUAUUAUGCUGGCCAUUUCCCGCAAAUUAGGUCAGUUUUGUCCCAGGAUGCGACCCACAUCAGUCCACUAACACCCAGGAUGCGACCCACACCAGUCCACUAACACCCAGGAUGCGACCCACACCAGUCCACUAACACCCAGGAUGCGACCCACACCAGUCCACUAACACCCAGGAUGCGACCCACACCAGUCCACUAACACCCAGGAUGCGACCCACACCAGUCCACUAACACCCAGGAUGCGACCCACACCAGUCCACUAACACCCAGGAUGCGACCCACACCAGUCCACUAACACCCAGGUACCUAUUUUAUACUGAUAGGUGAACAGGGACAGCAGAUGUCUUAUGGAAACACGUCCCUAAUGUUUUCCAGCCGUACCGGAGGAGAUUCGAACUCCGGACCUCAGUGUGUGAGCUGAGUGCGCUAGUGAUCCAGCUGCGGGACUUGAGUUAGAGUCUAACUUGUAGGAGAGAAUAAUAAAGAUUAUUA
This is a non-coding RNA of Cherax quadricarinatus, 2134 nucleotides long. Lineage: Eukaryota; Metazoa; Arthropoda; Malacostraca; Decapoda; Parastacidae. The record is from RefSeq and is a predicted model, not a curated record.